AGAAAGCCACGGCUAACUACGUGCCAGCAGCCGCGGUAAUACGUAGGUGGCAAGCGUUAUCCGGAAUUAUUGGGCGUAAAGCGCGCGCAGGCGGUCCUUUAAGUCUGAUGUGAAAGCCCACGGCUCAACCGUGGAGGGUCAUUGGAAACUGGAAAACUUGAGUGCAGAAGAGGAAAGUGGAAUUCCAAGUGUAGCGGUGAAAUGCGUAGAGAUUUGGAGGAACACCAGUGGCGAAGGCGACUUUCUGGUCUGUAACUGACGCUGAGGCGCGAAAGCGUGGGGAGCAAACAGGAUUAGAUACCCUGGUAGUCCACGCCGUAAACGAUGAGUGCUAAGUGUUAGGGGGUUUCCGCCCCUUAGUGCUGCAGCUAACGCAUUAAGCACUCCGCCUGGGGAGUACG
Molecule: ribosomal RNA, 401 nt
Filed under: Staphylococcus aureus
Lineage: Bacteria; Bacillati; Bacillota; Bacilli; Caryophanales; Staphylococcaceae
Description: bacterial SSU rRNA
Rfam family: Bacterial small subunit ribosomal RNA
Source: RNAcentral